AGAAAUUUAGGAUCACCAUUAAACCGAGGACCUUCAAAGCCCUAAACAAGAGUAAUACUCUUAAUUUCUG
This 70-nucleotide transfer RNA is filed under the name Heloderma suspectum (Gila monster). RNAcentral describes it as "tRNA-Trp". The record is from RNAcentral. Lineage: Eukaryota; Metazoa; Chordata; Lepidosauria; Squamata; Helodermatidae.